Non-coding RNA from Electrophorus electricus (electric eel), 4085 nucleotides. The record is from RefSeq and is a predicted model, not a curated record. NCBI's taxonomy places the organism in Eukaryota, Metazoa, Chordata, Actinopteri, Gymnotiformes, Gymnotidae.
AUUUAUCUUAACGCGUUUGUAUGUUUGACCCAUACAUACGUUUUCGGUGGAUUUUAUUUCUACAAAACCAGACAAAGUGCCAUAAAAUAUACAUGGUUUGGUGCUGAUUAAAACGACUGUCAAGAGCAGGAACACGAUAGCUUGUUAGUAAACCAAGCCAACAUCGCUGUAACAUUAGGUAGAGAUAUAUAUUUAGUUAUCUAGCAGCAAGCACAUUUCGCACUGUUUUCCACUUAUUUCAUCUGCCUGUUCCUCGAAGAAAAAUAAAAAUACCGAGGGAUAGUUACGUUUUGUUCAAUACCUUGGAUCAAGUUGCAUAUCGAAAGAAUGAAACUGCAUUUUAGCUGACAUUUAUCGUCUACUUUAGCUUAGCAACCUAGCUGUUAGAUUUUACAUCUUUUUCCUCAUUGAUAAAACGAUGACAACUCUUACAAGACAGGAUCUUAACUUUGGUCAAGUGGUGGCUGAUAUUCUGUGCGAGUUUCUGGAAGUGGCCAUCCACCUCAUCCUAUACGUUAGAGAGGUCUAUCCAUCUGGGAUAUUUCAAAAAAGGAAGAAAUACAAUGUUCCUGUGCAGAUGUCAUGUCAUCCUGAGCUGAACCAGUACAUCCAGGAUACGCUUCACUGCGUUAAACCACUUAUUGAGAAGAAUGAGGCAGAGAAAGUAGUGGUUGUGAUCAUGGAUAGAGAACACCGCCCAGUGGAGAGAUUUGUGUUUGAGAUCUCCCAGCCUCCCCUUCUGUCUAUCAGCUCUGAGACUCUGCUGUCUCACGUGGAGCAGCUACUGCGAGCAGUGAUCCUGAAGAUCAGCGUUUGUGACGCUGUUCUUGACAACAACCCACCAGGCUGCACAUUUACUGUGUUGGUGUACACUAGAGAAUCUGCUACUAGAAACAUGGAGAAAGUUCAAGUGAUCAAGGACUUUCCCUGGAUUGUCGCAGAUGAGCAGGAAGUCCUCAUGCAGGAACCCAGACUCAUUCCUCUGAAAACAAUGACCUCAGAUAUAGUGAAGAUGCAGCUUUAUGUGGAAGAGCGAGCACAGAAAGGACAGCGUAAUGCAGCAUGAAUAAAAGGAAUACACCUUCAAAAACUUUUUACAAUUCUUUUAACUCCAUUUGAUUACUUUAGGUAGAUUUAGCAUGACCUAACAAUUAGCAGUGAAAAUGUUUAUUUAAUUAUUAAAUAUUAAGCAGAACUGUAAUUUACUAGAUCAAAUGUAUCGAUGCUGGUUUUCAGUGUCUAGAUAAUGCAGUGUAAGUGUAAGCAUGUAAUUUGUUCAGUCAUAAGUUUGCAGAUGUUCAUCAGUGCAGUUUGUAGAGGUUUCCUUGGUAACCUCCUCCUGGUUUCUCCUCUUUUUUUUUUUUUUCCUUACCACAAAAUGUUUUUUUCCCUGGCCAGAUAACAUUCCAUUUUUCUGUAUACUUCAUUUCAGUUCAUUGUUUGGGAGUACUUUUGUGACCAGCUUUUCUGACAUGCUUUUUAAGGACAUUGUUUUGCACUGGUCAUCAUCAAUUUCUUCAUGCAGGAGAAAUAAGUGAAUAGGUGUAUAUUGGUCUUAUAAACCAUUCAGAGAAAUCAACUGAGUUAAAUUUCAUCUAAAAGGAUUCUCACCCUGAUGAUCAUUUUGCUUGCUUGCCAGAGCUCCUGAUGUAUCCAAGGCAAGCUGGUGAGCACAUCUCACAUAUGAAUGCAAUGAAAAUAUUGACAAUCAGACGUAUUAAAGUACUAUGACACGAUUCUAAAGGGAUGGGAAGAGGGACAGUUUUACAAAGAGGAGGCUUUUUGUCGUUUUCUGAGGGGGUGAUUUUGCUCCACCAUCAGCAUGGUUUUCUCCAUAAUUCACCCACAUGUGGAGCCUGGCCUCUCCUUAUUCUUCCUGUUCAAAAACGACUGUGACGUGCCAGAGGGCACUCUCGAGUCCUCGGCCAGGACCUCAUUUUAAUUUUGGAAAGUACAAGUAUAUGUUACACUAAAAUAGCAAAAAACAAACAAACAAAAAAAGCCCCUACAAGUAUAAUUCCUUUUUUGAGCAGAAAUGCUAGCAUGCUAUUGCCCUACUGUGUAAAAACCUGUUUGCUAUUUUUAAGUACAUAUUUUUCAAAAAGGAAGGUACUGGCCAAGUGGUGAGAGACUAUUUUAAUUUUUCGUUUUUAGCCAUUUAGCUUCAUUCACCGCCUGGCAUCUUGGACUCUGACAAACACACGCAGUUCUCCUCUGCUUCUAUGUGAAAAACUGGAAUUUUCAGGACUGGUGGGAUGUCUGCAACAUUGUAAGAAAAAGCUACAGUUGGCAAUAGAUUUUUUAAUAUAGUUGUUGUAGAUGUAGAUCAUUUUCUAUAGCUGUGAAAAGAAUAACUGGAAUUAUCUAGGGUGUGCGUAUUGCUAUAGCGAUAUGAUCCCGUCUUUCACUUUCACUUUUCAUAGCAACCUAAAUUCAGCGCCGUCUCCGUCACACAGUUUAUUUUCCUUUCAAAAUUGUAAUGAUUCAUAAUUUUUAAGGAGCAUUUCUUCAGGACUGUUGCCCCUGGCUCGCCCAUUGAGGUCUUGGACCCAGACAUAUGUAAAGCUGUAUUGUGACAAUGGCUGUUGGAAAAAAACACUACAUGUUAUUGAUUGACUGACAAUAGAAAUGGGUACUUUCCUCAGUACAUUUUGGACUGAAACAGAACAGUACUUGUACAUAAAACACUGAUCAUGUGCUCUAUAAGAUGAGAUGUCUAUGAGCAAACAAACAAGCACAGUCAUAUAGAUAGAAAUUCCCCAAAAUAAUUAGUUGACCUUAAAAUCAUCUUAAAAUCAUACUACAUUUGGAUGAUUUAAUGUACUCGUAUGUGAUAAUGUGGGUUAUCUGUAUCUCAGAAAUUUCCCAUAUUGCCAAAACAUGUCCUGUACUACAUAAAAAUGAUAGCCCAUGACUAUCAGCAGUGUCAUUAUGGGCAGAAUAUACUGUACUCUUUCAAAAAUCCAUAUUAAAGGUAUACUACCUUUAGGAUAAUUAAUAUGCUCAUUUCACUUGUGCUGAUUUUUGAUAAUGUAUUUCUGAUGAUGUUUCCAUAAUGCCAAAAUAAUUCCACUGCCAGUCAAGAGGGAUAUCCCUUGGCUAUCAACAGAUCAAGGUUGAAAAGAUUCUACUUUCAGUUUUUUUUGAUAAAUCCAAUUUGAAGUCCAUGAACGCCUUUUAAUGAUGUUUAAAUGCCCAUUUCAUUUUAAGAAAGAAUGCUAUUGUUGGCUAAUUCUCUGAAUUUUCCCAUAAUACUAAAACAUUUCCACUGUCAUUAAGAGGGGUUGCCCUUGGCUAUCAACAAUGCAGGUUUGGCCACUGACACUGGUAUUUAGCUAAUGCAGUGUCCUGUUUUCCCUCGUGGGGCUAGUGAUGUACUGGUUGAAUAUCGGCAGAAUGCAUGGGAGACUUGAUUAAAGUGCCAUACUGUGUCUGAGCCCCAUUGGGAAAGACAUUCCAAGACAUUUUGGAGUUUGAAAUGGAUUUUUGAAAACAUAGGAAAGUAGCAUCCACCCCAAUUUGCAGCGAUUAUGGGCAAAGGCUACUACUCUUGAGUGGUAGUGGAACUGUUUUGGCAUUAUGGGAAAAUUCAGAGAAAUAGGUAACCAUACUUUCUCUGAAUUAAAUGGGCAUUUGAACACCUCUUAAAUAUACAAGGACCGGAUUUAUUAAACUGUAUUUAAGACAAUGAAAACGCGACACGGGAAACUUAGGCUGGCCAUUUGCUAAGGAAACGAGAACCAGGUAUUUGUCUCACUCCUAAAGCUCGUCUUCCAAAGUAAGAACUCCUUUCCUGAUCUAAUUAGGAUUGCAGUACAGUAGCCUAAUAUUUUAAUUUAGUGAGCAUGUUAGGUUGUUACUAUUUCAGCGUUUAAUUAUUAUAGCCAAAUCUUUGGUUUUCAGUAUGACUGUUACUUUGUGUCCUUGUGUAACGUAGCGAAUGUGGUCAAGUCAUCCGCGCUUUAAAUCCUAAAGCGCCUAUAUGCGCGAUUUCGCUGAUCACCCCAAUCUAACGCUCUAUAAGAAAAGAGAAGCAGACCGUUUUUUCAAAGAGCUCUGAUGUAGGCACGCACUUUUACUUCAUU